Xiphias gladius (swordfish) is the source of this 2182-nucleotide RNA transcript. It is a transcript of the gene named potassium voltage-gated channel subfamily S member 2, with no coding region annotated. The transcript has 11 exons. The record is from RefSeq and is a predicted model, not a curated record. Lineage: Eukaryota; Metazoa; Chordata; Actinopteri; Istiophoriformes; Xiphiidae.
AGCUAAAAAAGAGAGGGAAUACUGGACUUGGAUUCAUCAGGGGGACACAAACACGACUCCGGAUGAAGGACGAUGUUGCUCUGGAACUGCUGGAUGUGGAAAUAAGCAGCUGUUUGCUAACAAGUUCAACAUAUCAACUUAAAAGUAACGUAGAAAAACCAUGGUGAAGGAGAGUCUGCCCGGCUGGGUCCACCAGGACUCUGACGAGGGACUCGUCCACGUGAACGUCGGGGGUCUGAAGAGGAGCCUCUGCUCCAGCACGCUGAAGAAAUUCCCGGACACCAGACUGGGAAAACUGCUGGCAUGUGACUCUGAGGAAGAUAUACUGCAGGUCUGCGAUGAUUACGACGUGCAGCAGAAGGAGUUUUAUUUUGAUAGGAACCCGAGCCUGUUCCCAUAUGUCCUCCACUUCUACCAGACCGGCAAACUUCACAUCAUGGAGGAGCUGUGCGUCUUCUCCUUCAGUCAGGAGAUAGAGUACUGGGGCAUCAAUGAGUUCUUCCUGGACAGUUGCUGCAGUUACCGUUACCACGACCGCAAGCUGGAGAGCAGCCGCCAUCACAGCUGGGACGACGAGAGCGACGUCAGCAGCAUAGACACAUCUGUGGACGAGAUAUCUGACUUGAACAGAGACAUGCAGCAUUUCCAGGAGGUGCGCUACGGGAACAUCAGGAAGUGUCUGUGGCUGACGCUGGAGAACCCGGGAUACUCCAUCCCCAGCAAGCUCUUCAGCCUGCUCUCCAUCGGAGUGGUGCUCACGUCCAUCGCCAGCAUGUGUAUCAACAGCAUCCCAGAGUAUCAGACGUUUGACUCUGAAGGGAAGCUGAUCGAGGACCCGAGCAUGCAGGCUGUGGAGGUGUUCUGCUCCUGCUGGUUCACCUUCGAGGUGGUGACGCGACUGCUGCUCGCACCGAACAGGAAGAAGUUCUUUCAUCACCCUCUGAACAUCAUUGACAUUGUGUCUGUGGUUCCCAUCUACAUCACCCUGAUCUUCGACAUGACUGUGGGAUCCGAGUCUGAACUGGGAGACCUGGGACGACUCAUACAGGUGUUCAGGCUGAUGCGGAUCUUCAGAGUUCUGAAGUUGGCCCGACACUCGACAGGACUUCGGUCACUGGGAGCGACGCUUCGGCACAGUUACCGUGAGGUGGGCAUACUGCUGCUGUACCUGGCUGUCGGCGUGUCCGUCUUCUCCGGCAUUGCUUACACCGCUGAAUACGAAGAGGACGUGGGUCUGGACACCAUCCCGGCCUGCUGGUGGUGGGGGACGGUGAGCAUGACCACAGUCGGUUACGGGGACGUGGUGCCCGUCACGGUGGCCGGGAAGCUGGCAGCCAGCGGCUGCAUUUUGGGUGGCACGCUGGUGGUGGCGCUGCCCAUCACCAUCAUCUUCAACAAGUUCUCCCACUUCUACCGCCGGCAGAAGGCUCUGGAGGCGUCGGUGAGGAACAACAACCGCAGGAAGAUGAGGAUGAGCUGUGAGAGCGAGCCGCGGGAGGACGAGGAGGACGAGGAAGACGAGGAGGAGGGAUCGGACGAGGACAGCCGGUGUCUGGACGAUGAUGAUACCGAUGAUAUCGAGGAGGACGAUAUAGAUUAUGAGGAUGAAGGAGGCGUCAUCAAUUACAGCUACGUGGAGCACCCGUCCUACACGUCAAUACUGAGGAGGAAGGGGCUGCACCAGCUGUGAGGAUCGGCUCGGCCUCGGAGCCGCCACAGUCCGCGUUCACACUGGAGGCUAAACCCGCUCAGACUCAGAGUUUCCCUCUGAGUGGGGCACAGAUCGGAUGUGUCUGAUGUGUUCGGUUCUGAUCGCGACUGUGACUCGCAUCUGAUCCAAGGCCGCACGAAUGCUGCUGCGAACUGUCAAAAAGGAUUCACGCGAGACCUGCUGUCCCUCCACGACCGGUCACUGUCGGAAAACUCUGCAGCAAUUCCAACAAACAUGGAGGACAACAAAUCCAGAAGGCCGCAGUGUGAUUAGAGUUUGAGUAGGUGCCUCUAGAAAACUGAAGUCACAGGGGCCACAUUGCAAAUCACAAAAUCGGGGUCUGGACUCUGACUCUGUGGGUCUUCCAUGACGGACUCUUCUGACCUGCCGUACUGUAGUUUCUUCUCAUUCAUUUUGUGCAUGUGGGCUGUUUCAGGCAGGAGACAGAACUCUUGACACGGAGAAGAGGGA